Molecule: long non-coding RNA, 455 nt
Organism: Trachemys scripta elegans
Lineage: Eukaryota; Metazoa; Chordata; Testudines; Emydidae
Exons: 3
Source: RefSeq, a predicted model, not a curated record
GUUCAAAUUCCCCAUUACCCUUUCUCCACUUCCACAUAUGUAAAAGAAGUGAGCAGGAGCAAUGCAUGAUGUGUUGGCAAUGGAUGCAGGGAGGAUGCUCUUGAGGCAAUGCCAGACAGAAAGAUCUGUGACUGGGGCCUGAAUACUUUGGAUAGCUUCUGGCAUUGUUGACCAAGCAGAGCUCCUAAAGAGGUUACAAUAAAAGAAAGAACCUUUCCUACUCACCCUAAAUGAGAGAAUGUGGCUAAGGAUCUUAUCAACCAUUGUCCUACCAUCUGCCCGAGUUGCCAGCUGCCUAAAGUGACCAAACGCCCUGUAUGAGGAGAACAGAAAACCAUUCCCCUCUUGAUGAUGAUGAGGAUCACACCAGUUAUUGAUCUGUCUCAAAUCUCCCUUUUUCAGGAUUAAUAAUUCGGAAGGGAGGAGGGGAAAUGAAGGUAAUUAAUUUGCUCUUU